UCUUAAAAUUACACAACCCUUUGAUUUUUGGACGUAAUGCGUUCGGUCGUUUUCGGUACAAUGAGACACUUUCUGGGCAAUAUGUCUGUCUAGAGGAGUCGGUUAUCUCCUUUGGAUCAACAGCACCAUCACAUGAACAUGUUCUGUAUAGCCUCUCUAACUGUUUCCUUCUCUGGUUCUGUCCAAUCCCUUAUCCAGUGUGAUGAAUGUCAUGUCACAGUUUUGUUUUGUUUUGAGAUGAAUAGCAAAUUCAAGCAAAUGAGGAACAGUAUAAGGUUUAAAUAGGGACAAACAUGGAAUGACAGACACACAGUAGGAGAGACAGAGAGAGAGAAAGGGGACAGAGUUAGAUAGAGAGAGAGAGAUAAAGAGACAGAGAGAGAAGAAGAGAGUUUUCUUCAAACAACAGUGAUGGAAACGUUGUGGUAUCUCACCCUGCUAAUCUCAGGCCCCAGGCAUUCUAAUUCCUCUUCAUAAAAUUACCAACCCCAUAGGAUCAUGGUCUUUCCCUCAAAGGCUGGCGUGGUGUAUGGCUCUGUG
This 540-nucleotide long non-coding RNA is filed under the name Salmo salar (Atlantic salmon). RNAcentral describes it as "lncRNA (ENSSSAG00000099920.1, ENSSSAG00075000815.1)". Lineage: Eukaryota; Metazoa; Chordata; Actinopteri; Salmoniformes; Salmonidae. The record is from RNAcentral.